GAGGAAACUGGGGCGCACCUUGGCUCGUUCAAGGUGUCCUCAGAUAUCAAGUGGCAGAGCUGAUGCUGGAGUCUCAGGCGAGAGCAGCACCCUUUGACCUUUUCAACUCUUACCCGCCUGAUUCUAGAGCCACCCGGAUUGGAAGCGGCUAAACGGCCUCCCACCCUUAAUCUCACUGUCUGAAUGAUAAAUCCUGCAGGACUUCUCCUUCCAUUCAAGCCCUUCACACUCUCCUUUGAGGAGCUGCUGCCUCCACCCCCCGACUUGUGUGACCCGAUGACCAAUUGGAGAUGCCACAAGGAACAAAACUCAGCGAGGCCAGAAGGUCGUUUGGUGCCCAAACUGCCACUCUAGGAAAUGUCUGCAAAUUCAUCCGUGUAAUGUAGUUGAUCAAUGAGGACAACAUGGUGGGUUUGCAUUCUCUCUCGCCCCAAGGAAGCUCAGAGGAACAAAAUGGUAACUGAUCACUUGGACUUUGUUGUCCAGUAAUCAUGAAAGACACAAAGGAUCCUGGUUCUUCUCCCUAUGAUGAGCUGCAAUCCCGAGGAUUUAUUGUGAGAUAAGGGGGCAGAUUCAAGGGUACAACAGUCUGUGGUCUUGAAAUAGGACAAAGGUAUUGGUUCCUUACAGGAAUGAAGCCAGUGAACUUAGACUUUAUUUAUUUAUUUAUUUAUUUUGUGGCAAGCCCACAUCAUGAGUAAGUGCCUGGGAUGGAACACAGUGAUGACAACACUAAAUCCUUAAUCUGCUGAGCCACCAGGAAACUCCUGACCUUGGUCUUAGCACCCCUCAUAUUCUGGUGAAUUUAUGGGCCACAGCCAGAGCUUUGGGGCUGCUGAAGAUGUAAUGCAGGAGGGCAACACAGGAGAGGUCAUGUGGGAAAGGAAGCUUGGUCACCAGUCAGAUUUGAGUAACUUUAGGGAGUCAUCACUUAUUAGCUAUUGGAAUAUGCAAAUAUGUAAAUCUCUGAGCCUAGGUUUCAUCAUCUACUUAAUGAGGAUGAUGACCUAAGGCAGAGGAUGGAGGAAGGAGGGUUAAGUGUGAUCAUGUAAAGUAUGCAGUCCCCUGCACGCAGUGAGUGAUUCCUCCAUGAAAGGUAGUAGAAGAGCUCCCUAGUGGCUCAACAGGUUAGGGACCUGACAUUGUCACUAGGGCUUCAAUCCUUGGCCUCAGGAAUUUCUUCAGGCUUCGGGCAUUGCUCUCCCUCCCUCUUCCGCUCAGACACCCCCCCCCACUCCCCCUCCCCCGCCAAAAUAGUGGAAUGCUACAGAUACAUAAGCUGGAGUGACAGUGGUCCAGCUUUUAAGCAGAAAUCAAGAAAUAUGUGUGUCUGUGGGUUGGGAAGGAAGGGAAAAAGGGAAGAUGGUGGCUCUGGGAUGAAUGCUAGUCUCUCCAAAGGCAGGGGCCAGGGAAGGGACUCAUGUGGGAGGUGAUGAAAUCAUCUUUCCCAAAGUCCAGGAGUAUCUAUCUAUCUCUUCAUUUACCACGCCCCCAACCUUCCUAGCCACGCAUCCUUCCUUGGUCAGGGCCCUGCUCCACCAGCUCCACUAGGGUCCCCCAGGGACCCAGGGAGGGUCAGCCAAUUACGGUUUUGUAUUCUAAGAUCUGGAGGGAUGGAGUUCCUGCCAUGGUCCAGCAGGUUACAAGCACAACUAGUAAUCCAUGAGGAUUCGGGUUCAAUCCCUGGCCUUUCUCAGUGGAUUAAGGAUCUAGUGUUAACUCAAGCUGUGGUGCAGGUCACAGAUGAAGCUUGGAUCUGAUGUUGCUGUGGCUGUGGUGUAGGCAGGCAGCUGUAGCUCCAGUUCAACCCCUAGCCUGGGAACCUCCAUAUGCCGCAGCUAUGGUCCUUAAAAAAAAAAAAAAAAAAAAAAAAAAAAUCUGGAGGGGAAUAUUGGACAUCACUAAAUUAAAUUCCACCGUGACACUUUUUUGGGGCCUCCCCCCCAAAGAAUGUGGAAGUUCCCAGGCUAGGAAUCAAACCCGGACCACAGCAAGUGACAACAUUGGAUCCUUAAUGUACUGUGCCACAAGAGAAAUCCCUCACUGUGUCAUUUUAUCUGUGAGGGAACUGAGACCCAGAAAGGAAGAUCUAUUCUAGUCCUGCCUCUGCAACUAAGGUUCUGUGAAGCCUUAGGCAAGUCACUUUCCCUCUCUGAGCCUGCUGUUUACUUAUCUGUAAAACUGGGGCUUGGCUUGCAGUGUUGAGAUGUCUAAGCACCCUUCAACUCCCACCUCCGCUGUAUUAAAAUCAUAGUUCCAGAGUUCCCAUUGUGGCUUGGAAGAUUACAAACCUGUCUAGUAUCCAUCCAUGAGGAUGAGGGUUCGAUCCCUGGCUUCUCUCAGUGGGUUAAGGAUCAGGGGUUGCCGCAAGCUGAGGCAUAGGUCGCAGAAGCUGCUCGCAUCUGACCUUGCUAUGGCUGUGGUGUAGGCUGCAGUGAUGAUUCAACCCCUAGCCUGGGAACGUCCAUAUGCCACAGGUUUGGCCCUGAAAAAUAAUAGUAAUUUUUUAGAAAUAAAAAUAAAA
This 2524-nucleotide long non-coding RNA is filed under the name Sus scrofa (pig). RNAcentral describes it as "lncRNA (ENSSSCG00040014305.1)". The record is from RNAcentral. Lineage: Eukaryota; Metazoa; Chordata; Mammalia; Artiodactyla; Suidae.